This 465-nucleotide ribosomal RNA is filed under the name uncultured Bacteroidales bacterium. RNAcentral's name for it is "bacterial SSU rRNA". It matches the Rfam family "Bacterial small subunit ribosomal RNA", at positions 335 to 797 of the family's 1533-position model. The record is from RNAcentral. Lineage: Bacteria; Pseudomonadati; Bacteroidota; Bacteroidia; Bacteroidales.
UUCCCUACGGGGGGCUGCAGUGAGGAAUAUUGGGCAAUAGGCGCAAGCCUGACCCAGCCAUGCCGCGUGCAGGAUGAAGGCCCUAUGGGUUGUAAACUGCUUUUGUACGGGACGAAACUCCCGAUCGUGAUCGGGACUGACGGUACUGUACGAAUAAGCAUCGGCUAACUCCGUGCCAGCAGCCGCGGUAAUACGGAGGAUGCAAGCGUUAUCCGGAUUCAUUGGGUUUAAAGGGUGCGUAGGCGGGGCGGUAAGUCAGUGGUGAAAGCCUGCAGCUUAACUGUAGAAUUGCCAUUGAUACUGUCGCUCUUGAAUGCGGUUGAGGCAGGCGGAAUGUGUAAUGUAGCGGUGAAAUGCUUAGAUAUUACACAGAACACCGAUUGCGUAGGCAGCUUGCUAAACCGUGAUUGACGCUGAGGCACGAAAGCGUGGGGAGCAAACAGGAUUAGAUACCCGUGUAGUCCU